This 217-nucleotide long non-coding RNA is filed under the name Solanum tuberosum (potato). Its description in RNAcentral is "long non-coding RNA (STUB_LNC000204)". The record is from RNAcentral. Lineage: Eukaryota; Viridiplantae; Streptophyta; Magnoliopsida; Solanales; Solanaceae.
UGCUAAUCAAGAGAGGAUCAAACUCAUCUAACCCAGAGAAUAAAAUGAUCAUCUAGCCACCUAGAGAGCGAUAUACCCAAGCAUACAAAACCUCUAACAACACUAUCGGGAUGCUAGAUCAGUAGUUGUGACUAUAGAUAAACCUUAAAAAAAUUAGUAAAACUAGACCCAAUGGUCCUCACAUCCAAUCACACCUAGUCGGAAUGUGACCUCGACG